UGGGGAAUCUUGCGCAAUGGACGAAAGUCUGACGCAGCGACGCCGCGUGCGGGAGGAAGCUCUUCGGGGUGUAAACCGCUGUUGCCCGGAACGAAACUUCCCUUUCGAGGGGAUUGACGGUACCGGGUGAGGAAGCGCCGGCUAACUCUGUGCCAGCAGCCGCGGUAAUACAGAGGGCGCGAGCGUUGUCCGGAAUCACUGGGCGUAAAGGGCGCGUAGGUGGCAGCAUAAGGCUGUGGUGAAAGUCUGGGGCUCAACUCCAGAUCGGCCGUGGCAACUGUGCAGCUUGGGCACUGUAGAGGCAGAUGGAAUUCCGGGUGUAGCGGUGGAAUGCGUAGAGAUCCGGAAGAACACCAGUGGCGAAGGCGGUCUGCUGGGCAGUGGAGUCGCAAGACUCCAAUAGCCGACACUGAGGCGCGACAGCGUGGGGAGCAAACAGG
RNAcentral lists this ribosomal RNA (440 nucleotides) under uncultured bacterium. Its description in RNAcentral is "bacterial SSU rRNA". It matches the Rfam family "Bacterial small subunit ribosomal RNA", at positions 355 to 776 of the family's 1533-position model. The record is from RNAcentral.